GCCUACGAGUUGCUCCUCACUGGCCAGGCUAAGGCCUUCAGGGCCGAAACCGCAGCGAAAGCAAGUCUGAAUAGGGCGCCGAGUCAGUGGGGGCAGACGCGAAACCGGGUGAGCUACCCAUGAUCAGGUCGAAGCGCGGGUAAGACCGCGUGGAGGGCCGAACCGUCUAGUGUUGAAAAACUACCGGAUGAAUUGUGGGUAGGGGUGAAAGGCCAAUCAAACCCGGAAAUAGCUCGUACUCCCCGAAAUACAUUUAGGUGUAGCGUUGCGUUAAAGUGUGCUGGAGGUAGAGCACUGAUUGGGCUAGGGCCCUUCACCGGGUACCAAACCCAGACAAACUCCAAAUGCCAGCGACACGUUCCGCGACAGUGAGGGCAUGGGGGAUAAGCUCCGUGUCCGAGAGGGAAACAACCCAGAUCGACAGCUAAGGCCCCAAAGUCUAGACUAAGUUGCAUGAAGGAAGUCAGACUGCUUAGACAACCAGGAUGUUGGCUUAGAAGCAGCCAUUCAUUGAAAGAGUGCGUAAUAGCUCACUGGUCGAGCGGUCAGGCGCCGAAAAUGAACGGGCAUCAAGUCUAGCGCCGAAGCUUCGAACCCGUCUUUGGCGGGUGGUAGGGGAGCAUUCCAGCGGCAUCGAAGCGGUAUUGCGAGAUACCGUGGAGCUUCUGGAAAAGAAAAUGUAGGCAUGAGUAACGAUAAGACAAGUGAGAAACUUGUCCGCCGCAAGCCUAAGAGUUCCUGUUCAACGCUAAUCGGAACAGGGUUAGUCGGGAUCUAAGCUGAGGCCGAGAGGCGUAGGCGAUGGCAAACGGGUUAAUAUUCCCGUACCACCGACGAGCGAUAACGCAAGGCGUGACGUGGACGCGUAAGAGCCGCGUGCUGACGGAAGCACGUUAAAGUGUGUAGGCUGGGAACUAGGCAAAUCCGGUUCCCGUGACGGCUGAAGCACGACAGUAGGGAGCGCCGACAGGCAACCCCUUAGAGCUCCUGAGCAAGCCACCAAGAAAAGCGUCGUGCGUCGUUCUAGGUGCCCGUAUCAGAAUCCGACACAGGUAGGCGAGGAGAGUAUCCUCAGGCGCUCGAGUGAUUCGCGGUUAAGGAAUUCGGCAAUCUAGCCCCGUAACUUCGGGAGAAGGGGCGCCCUCUUUCACCCAAAAGCGAAGGAGGGCCGCAGUAACCAGGCCCAAACGACUGUUUAACAAAAACACAGACCUCUGCUAAGUCGCAAGACGACGUAUAGGGGUUGACACCUGCCCGGUACUGGAAGGUUAAGGGAGCGUGUUAAUGCCUUCGGGCAUGAAGCUCGCGACUGAAGCCCCAGUAAACGGCGGCCGUAACUAUAACGGUCCUAAGGUAGCGAAAUUCCUUGUCGGGUAAGUUCCGACCUGCACGAAUGGUGCAACGAUUUGGGCACUGUCUCGACCGCGAGCUCGGUGAAAUUGUGGUGCCGGUGAAGACGCCGGCUACCCUCAGUGGGACGGAAAGACCCUGUGCACCUUUACUACAACUUGGCAUUGACAUUAGUCAGGACAUGUGCAGGAUAGGCGGGAGGCAUUGAAGUCGCGUCGCCAGGCGCGAUGGAGCCAUCACUGAAAUACCGCCCUUGUCCUGAUUGAUGCCUAACCUUCGACCGUGAGCCGGUCGAGAGACAUUGUCAGGUGGGUAGUUUGACUGGGGCGGUCUCCUCCCAAAUAGUAACGGAGGAUUUCAAAGGUACCCUCAGCAUGGUCGGUAAUCAUGCGUAGAGUACAAAGGCAAAAGGGUGCUUGACUGCGAGACAUACAGGUCGAGCAGAUGCGAAAGCAGGACUUAGUGAUCCGGCGAUUCUGAAUGGAAGGGUCGUCGCUCAAAGGAUAAAAGGUACGCCAGGGAUAACAGGCUUAUCUCCGCCAAGAGUUCAUAUCGACGCGGAGGUUUGGCACCUC
Molecule: ribosomal RNA, 1925 nt
Filed under: saltern metagenome
Description: bacterial LSU rRNA
Rfam family: Bacterial large subunit ribosomal RNA
Source: RNAcentral